Macaca mulatta (Rhesus monkey) is the source of this 1327-nucleotide non-coding RNA. NCBI's taxonomy places the organism in Eukaryota, Metazoa, Chordata, Mammalia, Primates, Cercopithecidae. The record is from RefSeq and is a predicted model, not a curated record.
UCUCCUUCCUUAGGUCCCGUUCUGGACCAAGAGCUGGUCCUGGUGUCUGGUGACUCCGUCUGGCUUCCUAGCUUCCUCCCUCUUCAAACUCAGUGUCUGUAUUGCCGCUCUAUUGACUUCAUGUGUUUCUUUUUUUCCCAAAGAUCUGUUCAAAGUGUGACGAUUUACUUAAUAUUUUGUUUUCUCUCUGUGGAAGAGGUGUUUCCUGACUGCAUCUGGUUGACCAUCUUGUCCCCCAGCUAAAAGUGUAAUUUACAUUUUGAUAUGGUUUGGCUCUGUGUCUGAACUUUAUUACAACUAAAAAUUACUACUUUUAUGUUAGACUAUUCUCAGUCUUCCUUCUUCAUUACCAAACCUUAUUGUUUGAUCCUAUAGAGGCAGUGGAAAUUGCAUCUUCAGAAGAUCGACAUGUGGAUGGAGAGAUUGAAGUUCUUCAACAGGCAUUAUAUAUGAAAAUGAUGCAAAAUAAAUGUGAAACACUACAGAUGGAUGAGGAGAGGUUGGAAGAAGAACUAGUGAACCUCAAAAGUCACAUGGAAAUGAAUAUGUUAGAACGUGGUCUAUUGGAACACCAUAAACAGGAGGUUGAAGAAGAGCAAGGCAGGAGAUAAUAGAACAAUUAGAAAAAGUCAAUCUAUUUUUACAGACACAAGAAACAUCUCAAGAAGAGCUACAGUGGUUACCAGAAGAAAACAUUGCUUCCAUGUAAAGUCAGAUGGAACUUAUAAUUGAAAAUCUGGAAUUCCAACUCUACAAAGCAAACACUUCACAAGCAGACUAUACUACAGCAGAAUUGGAAACAUAUAAGAAACUGCAUCUAGAAGAAUUAAAAGCUAGAGAAUCUCUGUCAGAUAAAUUAAGCAAACCUAAAGAAAUUCUAGCAGAUGUCAGUACCAAACUUCUUCAAGAAAAUGAGUGGAGCAGAUCUUUAUUUACUUCUCAUACUACAAGGCCAGUCCUAGAGUCACCAUGCAAUGGAAAUCUUAAUGAUAAUUUAGAUCUCAACAGAAUACAUAUCCCAAGAGAAACCUUAAUGAUUCCUACUUCAAGCUCAUUGUCUUCAAAUAUCAGAAUGGAGAACGACUUGUCAAAAGUUAGGUAUAGUAUUGUUUUUUCUUUGGUUGUCAGACUUCUGAUAUAGUUCUCUCUAUAUUUUUGGCAAGAUAUUGAGUUGUCUAACUGACUCAUGCAUUUUAAAUAAAGGUCAUAAUUAUCUGUGUUUCUAAGGAAAGGAAACAAAUCUUACAGCUUUUUUUUUUUAAGUCCCUGGGGUUUUAAUUAUUAAAAGAUAUUCAUUUUUUAACUUUACUCAACAAAUGUAACUAUA